CGCGGAGAAGCUGCAGACUCGCAGGCGAAGCGCCGAGCGGGUGAGGGCGAGCGCGGCACAGGACAAGUCCGCGAGCUGUGGAAUGUAAUCAUGGAGAGGAUAUCGCUCGCAGGGAGCGCCUCUUUCACCCGGCUCUUGGCUCUGCCGCCACAGAUGUUAUAGAUGACAGCUCAGCGCCGAGUGAGAAACCGGGCGUCGCGUCAAUAAGUGGUUUUCGAUCCUUUGGCGCAGCAGAAGUGAGCUGGACGAGUGAGCAGGAAGAGAGCCGCCUCGCCCACUCUGGAGCAGUGUGCCAAAAUGCGGCCUGCUCCGGGGCUGCACCGCUCAGUCCGUCUCAUGGGCAGUUUGGUCCUCCUGCUCCUGCAGGGGGUGCUGGUCUCAGCCCACACCAUGCCUGCACCCUUUAAAACCUUCUCCCCUUUGGAAGGCGGUCUCACGCACCUGGUCAUCCACAAUAAGACAGGAGAGUUAUACGUUGGAGCGGUCAACUGGAUCUACAAGCUGUCUAGCGACCUGACUAAGCUACGUAGCCACGUGACGGGGCCUGUGGUGGACAACGAGAAGUGCUAUCCACCCCCCAGUGUGCAGUCCUGUCCCCACGAGCUCGCUCAGACUAACAACGUCAACAAGCUGCUGCUGGUGGACUACGCACAGAACAGACUCAUCGCGUGCGGUAGCACCUCGCAGGGCAUCUGCCAGUUCCUGCGACUGGAUGACCUCUUCAAGCUCGGCGAGCCACACCACCGCAAGGAGCACUACCUGUCGAGCGUCAACGAGUCAGGCACGAUGUCAGGCGUAAUCAUCGAGGGCAUCGACAGUCCCAAUGGCAAACUCUUUGUUGGCACUCCCAUUGACGGCAAGUCUGAGUACUUCCCCACUCUAUCCAGCCGCAAGCUGAUGGCAAACGAAGAGAAUGCUGACAUGUUCAGUUUUGUUUACCAGGACGAGUUUGUUUCCUCUCAGCUCAAGAUUCCCUCGGACACGCUGUCCAAGUUCCCGGCCUUUGACAUCUAUUACAUCUACGGCUUCAGCAGCGAGCAGUUUGUCUAUUACUUGACCCUACAGCUGGACACGCAGCUCACGUCCCCUGAUGCCAGUGGCGAGCAGUUCUUCACUUCGAAGAUCGUGCGACUCUGUGUGGACGACCCCAAGUUCUACUCCUAUGUGGAGUUCCCAAUUGGUUGUACCAAGGAUGGUGUGGAGUAUCGUCUUAUCCAGGAUGCCUACCUUGCUCGCCCAGGUCGGCAGCUUGCCCGCUCGCUGGGAAUCUCUGAGAGAGAGGACAUCCUCUUCACCGUCUUCUCGCAGGGUCAAAAGAAUCGGGCCAAACCGCCCAAGGAGUCAGCGCUGUGCCUCUUCACGCUGCGCCGCAUCAAGGAGAAGAUCAAGGAGCGCAUCCAGUCCUGCUACAAGGGUGAGGGGAAGCUGUCCCUCCCCUGGCUGCUUAACAAGGAGCUGGCCUGCAUCAACUCACCCUUGCAGAUUGACGACAACUUCUGCGGGCAGGAUUUCAACCAGCCCCUGGGCGGCACGAGCACCAUCGAAGGGUUGCCGCUGUUUGUGGACAAGGAUGACGGCAUGACCUCGGUGGCUGCCUAUGACUACAGGGGCAACACAGUUGUGUUCGCUGGCACCCGCAGCGGCCGCAUGAAGAAGAUCCUGGUGAACUCGGUGAGCCCAAGCCAGCCGGCACAGCUCUACGAGAACGUGGUGGUGAGUGAGGGCAGCCCCAUCCUGAGGGACCUUCUCUUGAGCCCAGACCACCAGCACAUCUACACCCUCACAGACAAGCAGGUGAGCCGUGUACCAGUGGAGAGCUGUGAGCAGUACACCGGCUGUGCUGAGUGCCUGGGCUCCAGGGAUCCCCACUGCGGCUGGUGUGUCCUCCACAGUGUAUGCUCCCGGAAGGAUCGCUGUGAACGUGCCGAGGAGCCCCAGCGCUUCACCUCGGAUUUGCGCCAGUGCGUGCAGCUUAGCGUACAGCCCAGGAACAUCUCCGUCACCAUGUCUGAGGUCCAGCUGGUGCUGCAGGCCCGCAACGUCCCGGACCUGUCCGCUGGGGUGAACUGCUCCUUUGAGGACUACAUGGAGACAGAGGGGCUCAUUGAGGGGAACUACAUCUACUGUCGAUCCCCAUCUGCCCGUGAUGUUAUCCCCAUCACGCGGGGCCAGGGGGACAUGCGUGUUGUCAAACUCUACCUGAAGUCCAAAGAGACCGGCAAGAAAUUCGCCAGUGUGGACUUUGUCUUCUACAACUGCAGUGUCCACCAAUCAUGCCUGUCAUGCGUCAACGGGUCCUUUCCCUGCCACUGGUGCAAGUACCGACACAUGUGCACGCACAAUGCCAAUGACUGCUCCUUCCAGGAGGGCCGUGUCAACGUGUCUGAGGAGUGCCCCCAGAUCCUGCCCUCCACACAGAUCUACAUCCCGGUGGGGGUGAUGAAGCCCAUCACGCUGUUGGCACGGAACCUGCCGCAGCCGCAGUCGGGCCAACGCAACUACGAGUGCAUCUUCCGCAUCCAGGGGGUUUCGCACAGCGUCACAGCACUGCGCUUCAACAGCACCAGCAUCCAGUGCCAGAAAACUGUGUAUGACUAUGAGGGCAAUGACAUCAGUGACCUGCCGGUGGACCUGUCGGUGGUGUGGAACGGCAAUUUCGUCAUCGACAACCCCUACAACAUCCAAGCUCAUCUGUAUAAGUGCUACGCCCUUCGGGACAGCUGUGGCAUGUGCCUGAAGGCCGACCCCCGGUUCGAGUGUGGCUGGUGCGUCCAGGAGAAGAAGUGUUCCCUCCGGCAAGAGUGCACCCCCCUGGAGAGCAGCUGGAUGCACGCCUCCUCCGGCAACAGCCGUUGUGCCCACCCCAAGAUCUUCAAGUUACACCCAGAGACUGGCCCCAGGCAGGGUGGCACCAGGCUUACCAUCACUGGGGAGAACCUGGGCCUCCAGUUCCGGGACAUCCAGUCCGGGGUGCGCCUGGGCAAGGUUCUGUGCCACCCCAUCGAGGAGGAGUACAUCCGAGCCGAGCAGAUCGUGUGCCAGCUGGCCGAUGCCACGGGGUACCGGGUGCAGGAGGCCCACGUGGAGGUGUGCGUGCGGGACUGCCAGCCGGACUACAGGGCUGUCUCACCCAAGGCCUUCACCUUUGUGACGCCGUUCUUCUUCCGGGUGCAGCCUGCCCAGGGCCCCCUCUCUGGGGGCACGAGGAUCACCAUUGAGGGCCACCACCUGAAUGCAGGCAGUGCUGUGGCCAUCAACAUUGGCCUGAAUGUCUGCCACUUUGAAAGGAGGAACGCCAAGGAGAUUGUGUGUGUCACUCCAGCUGGCCAGAGGCCGGGGGGCACACCAGUCAUGGUGGACAUCAACUGGGCAGAGCUGAGGAACCCUGAGGUCAAGUUCAACUAUACAGAGGACCCCACCAUCCUGAAGAUUGAUCCAGACUGGAGUAUCGCCAGUGGUGGGACCCUGCUGACUGUCAGCGGCACAAACCUAGCUACCAUCAGGGAGCCCAAGAUCCGUGCCAAGUUUGGUUCUGCAGAAUCCUUCCACAGCUGCACGGUCCACAACAAUACCAUAAUGAUCUGCCUGGCGCCUUCAGUAGCUGCCUCCGAGAAGGGCUUCUCCGAGCUGGGUAGCAGCCCUGAUGAGAUCGGCUUCUACAUGGACAAUGUGCAGUCGGUGAUGGUGGUCAAUGAGACAUUCAGCUACUACCCAGACCCCAUCUUUGAGCCCCUCAGCUCCACUGGUGUCUUGGAGCUCAAGCCCAGCUCCCCACUCAUCCUCAAGGGCCGAAACCUGAUUCCCUCUGCCCCCGGAAACUCACGGCUGAACUACACGGUGCUCAUUGGCGAGACCCCAUGUGUGUUGACGCUGUCAGAGACCCAGCUGCUGUGCGAAUGGCCCAACCUCACUGGACAACACAAAGUCACGGUCCGAGUGGGCGGGUUCGAGUACUCCCCUGGCACCCUACAGAUCUACUCGGACAGCCUGCUCACGCUGCCCGCAAUCAUUGGCAUCGGGGGCGGCGGCGGCCUGCUGCUGCUUGUCAUCAUUGCCGUGCUCAUAGCUUACAAGCGCAAGUCACGUGAUGCCGACCGUACGCUCAAGCGUCUGCAGCUGCAGAUGGACAACCUGGAGUCCCGAGUAGCGCUGGAGUGUAAGGAAGCGUUUGCUGAGCUGCAAACUGACAUCCACGAGUUGACGCAGGAGCUGGAUGGUGCAGGCAUCCCCUUCUUGGACUACAGGACCUACGCCAUGAGAGUGCUCUUCCCCGGCAUUGAAGACCAUCCUGUGCUCAAGGAGAUGGAGGUCCAAGCCAACGUGGAGAAGGCACUCACUCUGUUUGGGCAGCUUCUCAACAAGAAGCACUUCUUGCUCACCUUUAUCCGCACUCUGGAGGCCCAGCGCUCUUUCUCGAUGCGUGACCGCGGGAAUGUAGCAUCGCUCAUCAUGACAGCUCUGCAGGGCGAGAUGGAGUACGCCACGGGGGUUCUCAAGCAGCUUCUGUCCGACCUCAUCGACAAGAACCUGGAGAGCAAGAACCACCCUAAGCUGCUGCUGCGUCGAACGGAGUCUGUGGCGGAGAAAAUGCUGACAAACUGGUUUACCUUCCUCCUCUACAAGUUCCUGAAGGAGUGUGCAGGAGAGCCACUGUUCAUGCUGUACUGUGCCAUGAAGCAGCAGAUGGAGAAAGGUCCAAUCGACGCCAUCACAGGAGAGGCCCGUUACUCUCUGAGCGAGGACAAGCUCAUCCGCCAGCAGAUCGACUACAAAACCCUGACCCUGCACUGCGUGAACCCUGAAAACGAGAAUGCCCCUGAGGUGACGGUGAAGUGCCUGAACUGCGACACCAUCACCCAAGUGAAGGAGAAGCUCCUAGAUGCUGUCUACAAAGGUAGCCCUUACUCCCAGAGGCCCAAAGCCAGCGACAUGGACCUGGAGUGGCGGCAAGGCAGGAUGGCCAGAAUCAUCCUCCAGGAUGAGGAUGUCACCACCAAGAUAGAUAACGACUGGAAGCGGCUCAACACGCUGGCGCACUACCAGGUGACGGAUGGGUCAGUGAUCGCCUUGGUGCCCAAGCAGAACUCUGCGUACAACAUUUCCAACUCCUCUACUUUCAGCAAGUCUCUCAGUCGAUAUGAGAGCAUGUUGCGCACAGCCAGCAGCCCGGACAGCCUGCGCUCACGUACACCCAUGAUUACGCCUGACCUGGAGAGCGGCACCAAGUUGUGGCACUUGGUCAAGAAUCACGACCAUUCAGACCAACGGGAGGGUGACCGCGGCAGCAAGAUGGUGUCUGAGAUCUACCUGACUCGCCUGCUGGCCACUAAGGGUACAUUACAGAAGUUUGUGGAUGACCUUUUUGAGACCAUCUUCAGCACCGCACAUCGCGGCAGUGCUCUGCCCCUGGCCAUCAAGUACAUGUUCGACUUCCUGGACGAGCAGGCUGACAAACAUCAGAUCACCGACCCGGACGUCCGACAUACCUGGAAGAGCAACUGUUUGCCCCUGCGCUUCUGGGUGAACGUGAUCAAGAACCCGCAGUUUGUCUUUGACAUCCACAAGAACAGCAUUACGGACGCCUGCCUGUCAGUGGUGGCCCAGACGUUCAUGGAUUCCUGCUCCACAUCAGAGCACAAGUUGGGCAAAGACUCACCCUCCAACAAGUUGCUAUAUGCCAAGGACAUCCCCAACUACAAGAACUGGGUAGAAAGGUACUACUCGGACAUCUCUCGGAUGCCGGCGAUCAGCGACCAGGACAUGAGUGCUUACCUGGCAGAACAGUCACGGCUGCACCUCAACCAGUUCAACAGCAUGAGCGCCCUGCACGAGAUCUAUUCAUACAUUGUUAAGUACAAAGAUGAGAUCCUGUCGGCGCUGCAGAAAGACGAACAGGCGCGGAGACAGAGGCUACGCAGCAAGCUGGAGCAGGUCAUCGACACGAUGGCGCAGGCCAGCUGAGGACCCGAAAUCAAUGAGACGAGAAGGAAGGACUGCAAGCACUGAAGCAGUUGCACUGGUGUAGAGCACAGAGCCGGACGCGUGUGUGUGGGCUGGUGUCUGUCCUCCCCUGUCCAAAACCUUCCCCGGUCGACCUGCUGUCCACACAGAACACACAUCUGACAGAGAUUUGCGUUAUUACUGUUGAUCUUUUCUUGCCUGUCCCGCAUUGCCAGGACAGAGGUUCGAGGAUACAAAGUCUGUGGGGAAAGGGAGACAGGUGAAGGAUUUCUCUGCUUCCCCCCUAUUAUGUGAUGCUGCGUCACCUCCCACGUGUGCUGUGUGCCAGGGUCCCUUAGAAAGAGGUGAAUGUUAAUCCAACAUGAAGCAAACAACCCUAGAUUACCACCUCCUUGGGAUGGGAGGGAGAAGAAAACUGGCAUAGUGGAAUAUUUAGGUCACUAAUGCAGUGAGAGAUUGCUACCAAAACUGUGUUUUUAGGUAAUUGUACAGCAGGCAAUUUAGUUCCUUUUACCGAGGCUGCCUGUGUCUACGGACCAUAAUGUGGUUUUACAAAUUUGUUCUUUUCUCAUAGAUUAAUGUCUCCUGAACAGUUUGGGCCACGUUUCUGAAGCACUCCAUUUAGAAAGAGGGAGACAAAUGGUGUUGCUCGCUUGCACCGCUUGUCAAAUUUACUUUUAGGGCUUUUGUUUCCUGACCAUCAUUUCACUGAGAGGAUUGUUUUUGGAGAAACUUCUGGACAGUUCCAGGCUCGCUCCUCUACGAAGGACGGGAACGGGCAGCUCCUAGUUUGGAGGGCCCUUCACCUCUUCGGGUUUCCUACUGGAGCAUAGUGGAGGCAUGAUCAUGUCUUUGGUACACAUGUGGCUCUUGGGCCUGUAGGACACCUGUCUGAUAUGAGUACCCCCAGCAAUUCCAGUUGAAAAUUCCAACUAAAUAGAGCUGUUAAAAGACCAGUGUUUCUGUGAAAGGCCUACCACUUGACACACAGUUACCUUUAAAACUGUGCAAGUGGAUGCUGCCAAUGCACAGUUCAGACCUAACAGUGCAUCAUUGUAGCCUAAGAGCUCAGUUGUCCACACGAACAGUUCUCUGUAAUCCCAGUCUUAAGUGUCUGUAGGUGAAGGCUUCUCUUUUUCUCUUGAUUGCAGUUGUGAAACAGCAGGUUGCAUUAUCAAGUCUCAGGAUGUUUUCCUUGUGUUGGUGGUGUUAUUUCAGUUCGAUUAAGGAUUUUAUUGCUGGGGAAAUAAGGGGUACGGCAUUUUUGAUCAUUUGCAUGACUACCUGUUCAGUGUAGAGCGAGUUGUUUCGGGAGAAAAAAGUAAGUACCGAGGCAUAAGCCUCCCAGUUUUUGUUUUUUUAUUUCUUUGCUAUUCCUGCCUACUUGGCCACUGUUGUACAUAGAUGAGGAGCGCUAACUGCAUAAUCGUGUUUGGUGGAAACAGUGCGAAGACUCCGGUUUAGCAGCACUGAGGACAGACGGUAUGGGAAGGACGGCCGGUGGUCAGAGAGCUGGUGACGCCGCUCAGUGAGCACAGAGCUUUCGCUCCGCACAGAGUGCCUUGUCCCCUCCCGUCCAUUCCUUCUGCCUGCCCCACCCCCCUGCCCCACCCCUGCAGCCACCUGACCCCAGUGCUCCUUCCUGUUCCCAGCAGUCACAACUCUGCAGUUUCCUAUCUCAUACAUUUACUCCUUUCCCUCUUCUUCUGUGUCAUGGAAGAGAUAAUAUCCACGUCCCCGGCGCCCUUUUACGUGUUUUUUGUGUUCUGUUUUUUAAUCACAAAUAUUGAAAAACUGUCCUUUUUAAAAUGAAAUUAAAAUGCAUAGAAACAAAGGAAAUUCACUUAAAUUUAGGCAGAGGAAACAAGUUUUAAUAUUAUAUGGAUUCUGAUACAUUUUUAAGAGUUUCAGACUUGAAGCAACUGUGACAGGUUGGCUGUUUAAUGCUCAUUGUGUAAAUAUUCUGCUAUUUCCUAUUUUGCAGAUUUAUUACUUGUAAAUAAACACACGCAUC
Molecule: RNA transcript, 7975 nt
Organism: Scleropages formosus (Asian bonytongue)
Lineage: Eukaryota; Metazoa; Chordata; Actinopteri; Osteoglossiformes; Osteoglossidae
Gene name: plexin-A1-like
Exons: 33
Source: RefSeq, a predicted model, not a curated record